AGAGUUAAAGUAUUAUAUUAAUAUAUCCAACUGUUAAUCGGAAGAAGCAGAAUAACUGCUGACUCUA
RNAcentral lists this transfer RNA (67 nucleotides) under Euciroa cf. queenslandica STW-2017. RNAcentral describes it as "tRNA-Asn". The record is from RNAcentral. Lineage: Eukaryota; Metazoa; Mollusca; Bivalvia; Euciroidae.